AACGCGAAGAACCUUACCAAGAUUUGACAUGCAUGUAGUAGUGAACUGAAAGGGGAACGACCUGUUAAGUCAGGAACUUGCACAGGUGCUGCAUGGCUGUCGUCAGCUCGUGCCGUGAGGUGUUUGGUUAAGUCCUGCAACGAGCGCAACCCUUGUUGCUAGUUAAAUUUUCUAGCGAGACUGCCCCGCGAAACGGGGAGGAAGGUGGGGAUGACGUCAAGUCAGCAUGGCCUUUAUAUCUUGGGCUACACACACGCUACAAUGGACAGAACAAUAGGUUGCAACAGUGCGAACUGGAGCUAAUCCCCAAAGCUGUCCUCAGUUCGGAUUGCAGGCUGAAACCCGCCUGCAUGAAGUUGGAGUUGCUAGUAACCGCAUAUCAGCAUGGUGCGGUGAAUACGUUCCCGGGCCUUGUACACACCG
RNAcentral lists this ribosomal RNA (423 nucleotides) under uncultured bacterium SHE-135. RNAcentral describes it as "bacterial SSU rRNA". It matches the Rfam family "Bacterial small subunit ribosomal RNA", at positions 958 to 1392 of the family's 1533-position model. RNAcentral also lists the same sequence under 1 other name. The record is from RNAcentral.